AAUUCUCAACCUUUCUAGCUUUUAAUAGCUUGUCAGGCUUGGAUUGUGGAAGUUGCUGGUUCAAACGAAUCAGCUCUUCUUAAAUGUAUUAGCAGAAACCUUUGCUGACCAUCUUUGGUAUGAUAAUUAUCUAUAUCAUUGAAAAUCAGUGUCCUUCCGAGGAGAGGCUUCGCUUCUAAUAGUCUUUUAGACAACUUGACAA
This 202-nucleotide unclassified non-coding RNA is filed under the name Entoloma hirtipes. RNAcentral's name for it is "partial internal transcribed spacer 2". The record is from RNAcentral. Lineage: Eukaryota; Fungi; Basidiomycota; Agaricomycetes; Agaricales; Entolomataceae.